RNAcentral lists this ribosomal RNA (434 nucleotides) under uncultured bacterium. Its description in RNAcentral is "partial 16S ribosomal RNA". It matches the Rfam family "Bacterial small subunit ribosomal RNA", at positions 29 to 507 of the family's 1533-position model. The record is from RNAcentral.
AGCGAACGCUGGCGGCAGGCCUAACACAUGCAAGUCGAACGAACCUUUCGGGGUUAGUGGCGGACGGGUGAGUAACACGUGGGAACGUGCCUUUAGGUUCGGAAUAACUCAGGGAAACUUGUGCUAAUACCGAAUGUGCCCUUCGGGGGAAAGAUUUAUCGCCUUUAGAGCGGCCCGCGUCUGAUUAGCUAGUUGGUUGAGGUAAUGGCUCACCAAGGCGACGAUCAGUAGCUGGUCUGAGAGGAUGAGCAGCCACAUUGGGACUGAGACACGGCCCAAACUCCUACGGGAAGCAGCAGUGGGGAAUCUUGCGCAAUGGGCGAAAGCCUGACGCAGCCAUGCCGCGUGAAUGAUGAAGGUCUGAGGAUUGUAAAAUUCUUUCACCGGGGACGAUAAUGACGGUACCCGGAGAAGAAGCCCCGGCUAACUUCGUG